Molecule: ribosomal RNA, 253 nt
Filed under: uncultured bacterium
Lineage: Bacteria
Description: partial 16S ribosomal RNA
Rfam family: Bacterial small subunit ribosomal RNA
Source: RNAcentral
UACGGGGGGUGCGAGCGUUGUCCGGAAUCACUGGGCGUAAAGAGCGCGCAGGCGGCUUGUCAAGUCGGGUGUGAAAUCCCGGGGCUCAACCCCGUGACUGCAUUCGAUACUGUCAGGCUAGAGGUAGGUAGGGGAGAUCGGAAUUCCUGGUGUAGCGGUGAAAUGCGCAGAUAUCAGGAGGAACACCGGUGGCGAAGGCGGAUCUCUGGGCCUUACCUGACGCUCAGGCGCGAAAGCUAGGGGAGCGAACAGG